This is a long non-coding RNA of Helianthus annuus (common sunflower), 2404 nucleotides long. RefSeq lists it as uncharacterized. The transcript has 5 exons. The record is from RefSeq and is a predicted model, not a curated record. NCBI's taxonomy places the organism in Eukaryota, Viridiplantae, Streptophyta, Magnoliopsida, Asterales, Asteraceae.
AAUUUUAUAGUUUUCCCUCUAUAGUUUCCACACAAUAACCAUUUCCCCACAAAAUGAAUUUCCAAUUCCCAGAAUCACGUUUCACAAAAAUCGGUUUCCCUCCCCCAAUCCUUCAUCAAUUUUGGUUAUCAUUCGCAUUCGCGCUCAAGGAGUCAAACUUUUGAGUCGUUGUGGCUGAGAAUCGUGAUAUCGGUUCAAUUGGCAUUAAUUAUGUAGGUGGUCAACAAUAAUAGGUGAUAUACGCAAGCAGAAUACUGAGUAGAUCAAGCGAAUAUACCUCAGAUGUGUUGUGUUUUAGACAUUGUCAUUGAUUGCAAUUCCCUGCUGUUAGAUCAAGAACCAACAAGAAUGUCUGCCCUUUCAAGGUAAUUUCAUUGUUACUUCUUUAUAAGCUGAUUUAUUUCCCCUUAACUCGAAUAAUCUAUGUCAAAUAGGUGCUUUGGGUCGAUGAUAUGUCUUAUGGUCUAUUACUAUUAUGUAGCGUAAGAUGAUUGGAGUUAAGGGCUUGAGUCAAUGGGGGGAUUUGGUUUCUUUGAUCAACUGUGGUGGAGAUUGUCUUAUGGUCUAUCAUUGUCAUGCAGUGUCAGCCAUUUCUUUUGUGAAAUGUCCUAUGGUCUGGUCUGCUUGUGAAAAAAAUGAUGAAUUCAUUAUUUAAUCAUUUGAUCUCAAUCUCAUCGUAUUUAUCCACAUUAAAUACAUAAUUUUAUUCCAUUAUAUCUUUUGGGUCAGCUAUGGCUUCCAAAGCCCCCAUUACACUAGUGACCUUAUCAAUGUUAGAUAAUAUAAAGUUUAUUAGAACAGAAAUUAUUAUAUGUUUACAUGUUUAAUUAUUUGCCCUGUUUCAUUAGUUAAGAGGUGUAUAUGUUGACCCAUUUAAAUACGAAUGAGUGGAUUUGAUAUAUAUUUUCUUCUAAAGGGUUAAAUGAGUAAGCUACAGGUUACAAGAGUCAAAUAAAUACUAAACAAUUCAUGGGCUAAAAGUUAUCCAGAAUGUGUUCAAAGCAUAAAAUCUGUUAAAACCACUUUAUUAAUAAAAAUGUUGAUUAUUAUUUUAAUAAUAUGGAUUCUGUAAUUAUAUGUACCACAUUACUUAUUUUAUAUAAUUAAAUAAAAAAGGCUAAAAAUAUUUUGCAGAUCAUUUGAAACAUGGAUUGCUUGAAGCUAAGUGUUUUUAUUGUAUGAUUCUUACCCGAGAAGAAUAUUUUGACUUUAUUUGUAAACAUUUGAAAUAUGUUUUGGAUUGAACUGAUAAUUGAAGUAAUUAUAUUAUAACUUCUACAUGUUCUCAUUUUUGGAUUGAACUGAUAAUUGAAGUAAUUAUAUAUAAAGGGGCUCAUUACCAUUUACCACACCCUUGGGGCUCAUCCCCCACACCCAAUGACGUGGCCGCCCAUAUGGCGGAUCAUCCCCAAAGGACUACCCUCCUCCACACCCACCAACCUUAUGUAUGAGAAACUGUUUGACAAAGUACUCAGGUCGUGAUUAAUAGAAGUAUAUGUUUAUAGAUUGCUAAAAACCAUGUUGAGUUAUAUGUCCUUUACUCAGUAAAUGACUCCACUUUUGGGAAACGUAUUGUGUGCUUUUUGUGUUUACAUAACCAAUUUCCCGCCUAAACCUGAAAACCCAUAAUACAUAUCUGAUAUCUCGUGGAUCCCGACCCGUAUUUAUUAACUCGAUUGCCUUCUCCACUUGGUUAUUGACUUGUUUCGGUUUGGCUGGAUUCAUCUUCUUUAUGUUCUUGUUUCAAUUGUUUUUUCAUGUUUCAAUGUUGGUGGGUGAUUUCUUGAAACAAAGAUAGGAUGGUUAUGAUAUUGGUGAAGGUUUAAAAGAUUUAUUAAAAGAAAUUGCUGCUUUGGAUUAUGGCUAAGAUGUCCAGUUUAGGCCCACCAGGCUUUCGAUGAAAUUCUAAAGAGAAAAAGAAACUAAUAAUGUUUCCUUUGGUGGUUUAAGAAUAGUAAUCAUAUUUGGGAAUAGAAAGCCUCAGCUUGCUCUGUUUUUUUUUGCAGAUCUAUUGGAUUAUCCACAUCAGAUUUUUCUGUCACCGCUGUAGCCACUCUGAGGGCUUUGGUUAUGUAUUCAAGCUUUUAUGCGCUAGAUCAAGACUACAAGAACUGUUUAGUUGGAUAGCCUUUGUGAUUUUAUUCAAACUGAAACAUCCUACAAUGUACCGUCUAAGGCAACAACUUCAUCUCUUUCUAUGAAGAACACUACUCUCAAACCAGAAUAGAAUAACGGAGAGUUGACAUCAUGUAAAGCAUGGGAGGAAUAGAUAUAACAAGAUUCAUGGAUCGCUUAGAGCUAUUUUUAUAUAGUAAAAUUCCUACCUGAAUACUUAUGUUGUAAACAUUUGGAAUAUGUUAUGUAUUGAACCUAUAGUUGAAGUUAUGAUAUUAUAAUUUCUACA